GACGAACGCUGGCGGCGUGCUUAACACAUGCAAGUCGAACGGAAAGGCCCUGCUUUUGUGGGGUGCUCGAGUGGCGAACGGGUGAGUAACACGUGAGUAACCUGCCCUUGACUUUGGGAUAACUUCAGGAAACUGGGGCUAAUACCGGAUAGGAGCUCCUGCUGCAUGGUGGGGGUUGGAAAGUUUCGGCGGUUGGGGAUGGACUCGCGGGUUAUCAGCUUGUUGGUGGGGUAGUGGCUUACCAAGGCGUUGACGGGUAGCCGGCGGGAGAGGGUGACCGGCGACAUGGGAACGGAGCCAGGGUCCAGAGGCCUAAGGGAGGGAGCAGUGGGGAAUAGUGGACAGUGGGCGGAAGCAUGACCCAGCCAUACGGCGUGGGUGAAGAAGGCGUCCGGGUUGGAAAGCCCUUUUGUUGGGAAAGAAAAGCAGCAGGUUAAAACCAAGCUGUUCUGACGGUACCCAAAGAAGAAGCACCGGCUAACUUCGUG
Molecule: ribosomal RNA, 488 nt
Filed under: uncultured bacterium
Lineage: Bacteria
Description: partial 16S ribosomal RNA
Rfam family: Bacterial small subunit ribosomal RNA
Source: RNAcentral